GGUCGGGCUGGUGUUGAUCGGUGGCGGCGCCGCGUUGCAGGCGCGACUGGACCCGCACAGCGGCGGUUCGGCUGCUGCUGCCCGGCCU
RNAcentral lists this transfer RNA (88 nucleotides) under Virgisporangium ochraceum. RNAcentral describes it as "tRNA-Cys". The record is from RNAcentral. Lineage: Bacteria; Bacillati; Actinomycetota; Actinomycetes; Micromonosporales; Micromonosporaceae.